UGGGGAAUAUUGGACAAUGGGGGAAACCCUGAUCCAGCGACGCCGCGUGGGUGAAGAAGGCCUGCGGGUUGUAAAGCCCUUUCGGUGGGGAAGAAAAGUUGUCGUUUAAUAAACGAUGACCUUGACGUAACCCACUAAAGAAGCACCGGCUAACUCUGUGCCAGCAGCCGCGGUAAUACAGAGGGUGCGAGCGUUAAUCGGAAUUACUGGGCGUAAAGCGCGCGUAGGCGGUUUGGCAAGUCGGAUGUGAAAUCCCCAGGCUUAACCUGGGAACUGCAUUCGAGACUGCUUUACUAGAGUAUGGGAGAGGGAAGUGGAAUUUCCGGUGUAGCGGUGAAAUGCGUAGAUAUCGGAAGGAACAUCAGUGGCGAAAGCGACUUCCUGGACCAAUACUGACGCUCAUGUGCGAAAGCGUGGGGAGCAAACAG
Molecule: ribosomal RNA, 428 nt
Filed under: uncultured bacterium
Lineage: Bacteria
Description: bacterial SSU rRNA
Rfam family: Bacterial small subunit ribosomal RNA
Source: RNAcentral